RNAcentral lists this ribosomal RNA (446 nucleotides) under uncultured bacterium. Its description in RNAcentral is "partial 16S ribosomal RNA". It matches the Rfam family "Bacterial small subunit ribosomal RNA", at positions 338 to 795 of the family's 1533-position model. The record is from RNAcentral.
CCUACGGGUGGCUGCAGUCGAGAAUCAUUCACAAUGGGGGAAACCCUGAUGGUGCGACGCCGCGUGGGGGAAUGAAGGUCUUCGGAUUGUAAACCCCUGUCAUGUGGGAGCAAAUUAAAAAGAUAGUACCACAAGAGGAAGAGACGGCUAACUCUGUGCCAGCAGCCGCGGUAAUACAGAGGUCUCAAGCGUUGUUCGGAAUCACUGGGCGUAAGGCGUGCGUAGGCUGUUUCGUAAGUCGUGUGUGAAAGGCGCGGGCUCAACCCGCGGACGGCACAUGAUACUGCGAGACUAGAGUAAUGGAGGGGGAACCGGAAUGCUCGGUGUAGCAGUGAAAUGCGUAGAUAUCGAGAGGAACACUCGUGGCGAAGGCGGGUUCCUGGACAUUAACUGACGCUGAGGCACGAAGGCCAGGGGAGCGAAAGGGAUUAGAUACCCCGGUAGUC